GCCUUCGUGGUGUAACGGUAGCACACUCGGCGUGUAUUUGAGAGGCCCAGGUUCGAGUCCUGGCUACAGCA
RNAcentral lists this transfer RNA (71 nucleotides) under Stegodyphus mimosarum. It matches the Rfam family "tRNA". From Rfam's summary of the family: Transfer RNA (tRNA) molecules are approximately 80 nucleotides in length. Their secondary structure includes four short double-helical elements and three loops (D, anti-codon, and T loops). Further hydrogen bonds mediate the characteristic L-shaped molecular structure. tRNAs have two regions of fundamental functional importance: the anti-codon, which is responsible for specific mRNA codon recognition, and the 3' end, to which the tRNAs corresponding amino acid is attached (by aminoacyl-tRNA synthetases). tRNAs cope with the degeneracy of the genetic code in two manners: having more than one tRNA (with a specific anti-codon) for a particular amino acid; and 'wobble' base-pairing, i.e. permitting non-standard base-pairing at the 3rd anti-codon position. The record is from Rfam by way of RNAcentral. Lineage: Eukaryota; Metazoa; Arthropoda; Arachnida; Araneae; Eresidae.